Molecule: non-coding RNA, 1505 nt
Organism: Podarcis lilfordi (Lilford's wall lizard)
Lineage: Eukaryota; Metazoa; Chordata; Lepidosauria; Squamata; Lacertidae
Source: the annotation of a GenBank genome assembly
CCUUAAUUUAAACCAAACCAUUUUUUCCGGCCAGUAAAUGAGAUUAAACCCCACCAUGGCCUUACAAGUACCGCAAGGGAACAGUGAAAGAAUAAUGAAAAACUCUAAGCAUAAAACAGCAAAGACCAACCCCUGUACCUCCUGCAUCAUGGUUUAGCAAAACCUCUUCAGACAAAGCGAACCUUUAGCCUGCCCCCCCGAAACCAAACGAGCUAUUUUUGGGCAGCUGUUAAUCUAGAGCACACCCGUCCCUGUAGCAAAAGGGUGGGAAGACCUAAAAAUAGAGGCAAAAAGCCAAUCGAGCUUGGUGAUAGCUGGCUGCUCAAUAAAAGAAUUUAAGUUCAACUUUAGGUAUGUGUAAAUUAUUUCCAAAAUUCAUUCUUCCUCCUAAAGAAAAUCAAUGGGGGUACAGCCCCAUUGAACCGGAAUACAGCCCGAACUGAGAGAAACCCACCUUUAUUAACCUAAGUAGGCUUCAAAGCAGCCACCAUACAAUUGCGUUACAGCAUCCAACCAAAAUAAUUUCAACAGCCCAAACUAUCUCCUGAUAUACUUCGAGCUAUUCUAUAUUAACAUAGAAAUACCAAUGCUAAAAUUAGUAAUAAGAAAUAAUAAUUUCUCUCUGCAUCCCCUUAAAUCAGAAUAGAAAAUCUACUGAUAAUUACCACCACAUGACCCCACAUACACUAGAUAAAAGUCAUCAAAAAUUUGUUAACCCAACACAGGCAUGCACUAAAGAAAGACAAAAAGCCGUAAAAGGAACUCGGCAACAACCUGUCCCAACUGUUUACCAAAAACAUAGCCUUUAGCUUUACAAGUAUUAAAGGUCCCGCCUGCCCAGUGACUUUUUAAACGGCCGCGGUAUCCUAACCGUGCAAAGGUAGCAUAAUCACUUGUCCCCUAAAUAGGGACUGGAAUGAAUGGCUAAAUGAGGACAAAACUGUCUCUUACGGACUAGCCAAUGAAAUUGAUCCUCCAGUACAAAAGCUGGAAUAAACACAUAAGACGAGAAGACCCUGUGGAGCUUAAAAACCAAAAGUAUCAAAUAUGCUUCCUGGAUUUUUAGUUGGGGCGACUUCGGAGCAAAAAAAACCCUCCAAAAUAUGAAUUUAUUUAUUAAGACUAACACACCAAAAAUAAUUUUUAUAGACCCAGCAGUUAUUCUACUGUCUGAUCAAUGAACCAAGUUACCCCAGGGAUAACAGCGCCAUCCUCUUCUAGAGUCCCUAUCGACAAGAGGGUUUACGACCUCGAUGUUGGAUCAGGACACCCCUAUAGUGCAGCCGCUAUAAAAGGUUCGUUUGUUCAACGAUUAAAGUCCUACGUGAUCUGAGUUCAGACCGGAGAAAUCCAGGUCGGUUUCUAUCUAUGCAGCACUAUUUUUAGUACGAAAGGACCAAAAUAGUGGGACCUAUACUAAAUAAACGUCCCAAAAUAAACUACUGACUUCUACUAAAGUAGUUAUUAUGCUUUUCUCCUAAAUCAAAAUCAGGUUUAUUAAGGUG